This 536-nucleotide ribosomal RNA is filed under the name Bryconops affinis (orangefin tetra). Its description in RNAcentral is "partial small subunit ribosomal RNA". It matches the Rfam family "Bacterial small subunit ribosomal RNA", at positions 657 to 1402 of the family's 1533-position model. Lineage: Eukaryota; Metazoa; Chordata; Actinopteri; Characiformes; Iguanodectidae. The record is from RNAcentral.
UAAAGCCAAAGGUUCCCUAAGCCGUCCCACGCACUCCGGGAAUACGAAGCCCAGAUACGAAAGUAGCUUUACCUCCUACCAUUCUGACCCCACGAAAGCUAAGAAACAAACUGGGAUUAGAUACCCCACUAUGCUUAGCCUUAAACUCAGAUGAAUUAUUACAAAACCAUCCGCCAGGGUACUACGAGCGCUAGCUUAAAACCCAAAGGACUUGACGGUGUUUCAGACCCAUCUAGAGGAGCCUGUUCUAGAACCGAUAAUCCCCGUUAAACCUCACCACCUCUUGCUUUUCCCGCCUAUAUACCGCCGUCGUAAGCUUACCCUGUGAAGGCCUAUAAGUGAGCAAAAUGGGCACAGCCCCAAACGUCAGGUCGAGGUGUAGCUCACGAGGUGGGAACAAACAGGCUACAUUUUCUGUAACAGAAUAUACGAACGGCAUUAUGAAACUAGUGCCUAAAGGUGGAUUUAGAAGUAAGGAAGAAAUAGAGAGUCUUUUUGAAUUAGGCUCUGAAACGCGCACACACCGCCCGUCACCC